CACUUCUAAGGAAGGCAGCAGGCGCGCAAAUUACCCAAUCCUGACUCAGGGAGGUAGUGACAAGAAAUAACAAUAAACCGGCUUAUGCCGGUUUAAUUGGAAUGAGUACAAUUUAAACAUCUUAACGAGGAACAAUUGGAGGGCAAGUCUGGUGCCAGCAGCCGCGGUAAUUCCAGCUCCAAUAGCGUAUACUAAAGUUGUUGCAGUUAAAAAGCUCGUAGUUGGAUUUCUGUGGGGACGGAGCGGCCGGCCGCAACACGCGGUUCGAGCUAGCGCUUUCCCUACAUCCUGCCGCGAACCGUGCUACCAUUGAUUUGGUGGCGCCGGGGAUUGGCUCGAUUACUUUGAGAAAAAUAGAGUGUUCAAAGCAGGCCACAUGCCUUGAAUAAGUUAGCAUGGAAUAAUAACUAAGGACUUCGGUUCUAUUUUGUUGGUGUUCGGGACUGAAGUAAUGAUUGAUAGGGACAGUUGGGGCGGUCUGUAUUCCAAAGCGAGAGGUGAAAUUCUUAGACCUUCGGAAGACAAACAGCUGCGAAAGCGUUCCGCAAGGAUGUUCCCUUUGAUCAAGAACGAAAGUUGGGGGAUCGAAGACGAUCAGAUACCGUCGUAGUCUCAACUAUAAACUAUACCAGCUAGGGAUCGGCCAACGUUAUUUCAUACCGACUUGGUCGGCACCUUAUGAGAAAUCAAAGCAUCUGGGUUCCGGGGGGAGUAUGGUCGCAAGGCUGAAACUUAAAGGAAUUGACGGAAGGGCACCACCAGCCGUGGAGCCUGUGGCUUAAUUUGACUCAACACGGGAAAACUUACCAGGUCCAGACAUAGUAAGGAUUGACAGAUUGAUAGCUCUUUCUUGAUUCUGUGGGUGGUGGUGCAUGGCCGUUCUUAGUUGGUGGAGUGAUUUGUCUGGUUAAUUCCGUUAACGAACGAGACCCCAGCCUGCUAAAUAGCGCGCGUGAGCUUUGCUCGCGGCGAGCUUCUUAGAGGGACUCUGAUGCGCGAUAGCACAUGGAAGUUUGGGGCAAUAACAGGUCUGUGAUGCCCUUAGAUGUUCUGGGCCGCACACGGGCUACACUGGCGCCUGCAACGAGCAUAUCAGCUGGCCCGAGAGGGUCUUGGCUAAUCUUUUGAACCGGCGCCGUGCUUGGGAUUGACCUUUGCAAUUGUUGGUCAUGCAACGAGGAAUGCCUUGUAAACGCGAGUCAUCAGCUCGCAUUGAAUACGUCCCUGCCCUUUGUACACACCGCCCGUCGCUCCUACCGAUGAAUGUUCCGAUGAAAUUUUCGGAGAGCACCUGUGAACUUGGCUCUGCCUUGCGAACGGGAGGCUCAAAGUCACUUAAAUCUGAACA
Molecule: ribosomal RNA, 1348 nt
Filed under: uncultured marine eukaryote
Lineage: Eukaryota
Description: SSU rRNA
Rfam family: Eukaryotic small subunit ribosomal RNA
Source: RNAcentral